Long non-coding RNA from Clupea harengus (Atlantic herring), 2123 nucleotides. The record is from Ensembl. NCBI's taxonomy places the organism in Eukaryota, Metazoa, Chordata, Actinopteri, Clupeiformes, Clupeidae.
ACGUUAUAUUAAAAUGUUUAAAAAUACUCUUUACGCUUUUACACAUUUUCAAAAAGAGGUGACAGAAAAAAAUAACUAUUGGUUUAGUUUAUUGGGCUGCUGAAUGGUAGCAUAGUUGUCGAAGUAGUCCACUGAAAUGACCCUGCCCCUUUUCUAUCACACACAAGGCUGGUAGCACGGCGCGCGGAGGACUCCCAUAAUAUAUCCUAUUGCCGCUUGUCGUGACACUUCAAUCGACAUUGCUUAGAAACAACACGGUUCUCAUUUAAUUGGCUUUGAAAAUUUGUUAUAGCCUACCAAAGCAUCAAGUAGUUAAUCUCACGUAUUUUCAAGUGUUCGAGGCUACCGACCACACCACACCAAGAACUUGACACGUUUUAGAGUUAACACGUGUGCUUUGCUUAGUCCUCCCGUCAUAUUGAUGUGGAUUCUUUCAUUUAUCGAAGAAAUCCUGUGAAAGAUAUUCUUUCCUUGGGUGUGAAGGAAUUAGCCUUUGUUGGGAUAAGUGAACAUAACGGUCCCUGUUAUCCGCGGAGUAGGUGUGGCAGAGGUGUGGGACAGGACCUGCGGCUGACAUUUGUUCAAGGCUAAAAACAUCGGGAAACUUUCGUGAUGUAACGUUUUUCAGUUUGAAUGGAAUACAAGAAAGCGUUGGAAUAAUGAAUUCACCUCUCUAUCCUCUCCCCUGCUCCAUGGUGGGAAUGAAGCCGUAAGUGUGCCUUUUGUCUUGACUUUGACCACAUGCUGUGAUGCAGCUUCCAUUAUGAAUCAUGGUGCCUGUCAAUCCUCUCAAAACCUCCAAAGUCACCCUACCCUCCCUCUGUCACCCUGAGCGGAACUUCUCCCUCCUUCAACCCGUGCUUCUGUCCACUUUUCUUUUAUUCGUCGGAUGAGGGGAAACAAACAGGCAGCUGUCUCAUUUUCCACCACCUGCAAGCCCCCAUCCCUCCCUUUCACCCAGCCACCCACUCACACACUCAAGUCUCACGUGCACACCCUUCAAUGUCAACUUCACAGGCCCACUAUUAGAGCCGUGUUUAGCUUAGUUUAGCUUUUCAACUUGGCACGCAUCGAUCAGGAACGAUUUUCUGUCAGCACAAACCGAGUGGACUGGAGAUUGAUCACUUGCUAUUGUGUGCUUGCCAGCCUCUGUGUGUGCGUGUGUGCGUGUGUGUGUGUGUGCGCUCACACAUACGUGUGUUUAAGGGCGGUGUAAAGGAAGCGUGUGGAGUCUAUAAAGCAAGUGACAAUUGAGGACCUCCUACUCUCAAAGCCACAGCUUAGAUUUUCCUUAUUCUCAUUUGCAAUCUGCCGGUGAAGACAAUAAGUGCCUCACAGGGAGGACCAUUGUCUUUCAAAUGAAGCUGUCUGUCUCCCAAAACUGGAACAGAAGGCUGUGAAAGCUGCCUCCUGCCUCGGCUAAAACCCUCAUUUGUGCAAAGAUCCCUUUGUCAGCACCAGCCUACUCCUUAAGUGACGCUGGUCCAAAAACGCAGGUUAUUACACAUUUUUACUGAUUUGCAUUCUGAGCUCCCCACUGAAUGCAAUUCAAUUUAGCUGUAUCAUAUAGAUAUCUGCAUAGAAACAAGAGGCUUUUUUGUUGAUCAAUUAAGUUUUUCUUUGCUAAAAACAAACAUACACCAUGUCUUCUGAGGAGUUUGUGCAUUUGAACAUGUCUUUGGCUAUGGGUGAAGGCCCCUUUCUCUUUUACAUCGUAAGAAUAUAGCUUAGCUGUGUGGGUUACUUAAAUGGGGUUUCUCUGCAAGUAGCCUUCUUCCUGUAGUUAGUGGUGAUGCCAAAUAGCAAAUAUAGCUUUGGAAAUGGAGAACAAAUAAAUGUGAGGGUGAUGUGGCACUCUGUGGACGCCCGGGAGCCUCACAGAGUCAUUACUUCUGCUUGGUUCUCCUGGCAAAUGAUAAAACAAAGCAGAAGAGAAAAAAAGAAGAUGAAAGCCAUUUGGCAUAAACUGGUCAGAGCCGGACAAUUGUGCCAAAGCUGUAAUGGAGCCAAACUGUGAGGGGUUUUUUUUUUGUGUGGUUUCCCCAGGGAGAGCAAGUGAAGUUCUGAGACCACACAUCUCUCAUCUAAAGAGCAGAGGAAAAGACAAGGAUGGGAUUGUGCCC